AUCUUCCGCAAUGGACGAAGGUCUGACGGAGCAACGCCGCGUGAGUGAUGAAGGGUUUCGGCUCGUACAACUCUGUGGCUUAGGAAGAACAGUUGAGGUAGUAACUGGCCUUGAGAUGACGGUACUUAACCAGUAAGCCUCGGCUAACUACGUUCAAGCAGCCGCGGUAAUACGUAGGUGGCAAGCGUUAUCCGGAAUUAUUGGGCGUAAAGCGCGCGUAGGCGGUAAAAUAAGUCUAAUGAGAACGCCCCCGGCUCAACCGAGGAGGGGCAUUGGAAACUGUUUUACUUGAGUACAGAAGAGGAGAGUGAAAUUCCAUGUGUAGCGGUGAAAUGCGCAGAGAUAUAGAGGAACCCCAGUGGCGAAGGCGGCUCUCUGGUCUGUUACUGACGCUGAGGUGCGAAAGCGUGGGGAUCAAAC
This 420-nucleotide ribosomal RNA is filed under the name uncultured bacterium. RNAcentral describes it as "partial 16S ribosomal RNA". It matches the Rfam family "Bacterial small subunit ribosomal RNA", at positions 361 to 773 of the family's 1533-position model. The record is from RNAcentral.